UACGUAGGGUGCAAGCGUUGUCCGGAAUUAUUGGCGUAAAGAGCUACGUAGGCGGUUUGUCGCGUCGAAUGUGAAAACCCGGGGCUCAACCCCGGGCCUGCAUUCGAUACGGGCAGACUAGAGUUCGGUAGGGGAGUCUGGAAUUCCUGGUGUAGCGGUGAAAUGCGCAGAUAUCAGGAGGAACACCGGUGGCGAAGGCGGACUCUGGGCCGAUACUGACGCUGAGGAGCGAAAGCGUGGGGAGCAAACAG
This 251-nucleotide ribosomal RNA is filed under the name uncultured bacterium. Its description in RNAcentral is "partial 16S ribosomal RNA". It matches the Rfam family "Bacterial small subunit ribosomal RNA", at positions 524 to 775 of the family's 1533-position model. The record is from RNAcentral.